AUUGAACGCUGGCGGAAUGCUUUACACAUGCAAGUCGAACGGUAGAGGGGGCAACCCCUCGAGAGUGGCGAACGGGUGAGUAAUAUAUCGGAACGUGCCCAGUCGUGGGGGAUAACGUAGCGAAAGUUACGCUAAUACCGCAUACGAUCUAAGGAUGAAAGCGGGGGAACGAAAGACCUCGCGAGAUGUGAGCGGGCGAUAGCAGAUUAGGUAGUUGGUGGGGUAAAGGCUCACCAAGCCAACGAUCUGUAGCUGGUCUGUGAGGACGACCAGCCACACUGGAACUGAGACACGGUCCAGACUCCUACGGGAGGCAGCAGUGGGGAAUUUUGGACAAUGGACGCAAGUCUGAUCCAGCCAUUCCGCGUGCAGGAUGAAGGCCCUCGGGUUGUAAACUGCUUUUGUACGGAACGAAAAGGUCUCUCUUAAUACGGGGGGCUCAUGACGGUACCGUAAGAAUAAGCACCGGCUAACUACGUGCCAGCAGCCGCAGUAA
RNAcentral lists this ribosomal RNA (496 nucleotides) under uncultured bacterium. RNAcentral's name for it is "partial 16S ribosomal RNA". It matches the Rfam family "Bacterial small subunit ribosomal RNA", at positions 30 to 523 of the family's 1533-position model. The record is from RNAcentral.